Molecule: ribosomal RNA, 374 nt
Filed under: Escherichia coli
Lineage: Bacteria; Pseudomonadati; Pseudomonadota; Gammaproteobacteria; Enterobacterales; Enterobacteriaceae
Also listed under: 1 other name
Description: partial 16S ribosomal RNA
Rfam family: Bacterial small subunit ribosomal RNA
Source: RNAcentral
GGCCUUCGGGUUGUAAAGUACUUUCAGCGGGGAGGAAGGGAGUAAAGUUAAUACCUUUGCUCAUUGACGUUACCCGCAGAAGAAGCACCGGCUAACUCCGUGCCAGCAGCCGCGGUAAUACGGAGGGUGCAAGCGUUAAUCGGAAUUACUGGGCGUAAAGCGCACGCAGGCGGUUUGUUAAGUCAGAUGUGAAAUCCCCGGGCUCAACCUGGGAACUGCAUCUGAUACUGGCAAGCUUGAGUCUCGUAGAGGGGGGUAGAAUUCCAGGUGUAGCGGUGAAAUGCGUAGAGAUCUGGAGGAAUACCGGUGGCGAAGGCGGCCCCCUGGACGAAGACUGACGCUCAGGUGCGAAAGCGUGGGGAGCAAACAGGAUU